This 221-nucleotide long non-coding RNA is filed under the name Carica papaya (papaya). RNAcentral's name for it is "long non-coding RNA (CPAP_LNC000299)". Lineage: Eukaryota; Viridiplantae; Streptophyta; Magnoliopsida; Brassicales; Caricaceae. The record is from RNAcentral.
UAAAUGGGGGAUAAGAGAAGGGAGGAAGAGACAUUCCGAAUGAGAGAAAAAUAAUAAUAAGCAUAGAGGUGAAGGAAGAAGAUGGAGUACGAAAUGUGUGAUAUUUGAUAGUAUUUUGAGAUUUUAGAUAAAAAUCUUGGGGAAACUUUCCUAAAUUUGUGAGAACAAAGAAAGAAGAAGAGAAAAAGAAUAAGGCUCACGAUCAAAAGGAAACUAUAAAC